RNAcentral lists this transfer RNA (71 nucleotides) under Nematostella vectensis (starlet sea anemone). RNAcentral describes it as "tRNA-Gly". It matches the Rfam family "tRNA". From Rfam's summary of the family: Transfer RNA (tRNA) molecules are approximately 80 nucleotides in length. The record is from Rfam by way of RNAcentral. Lineage: Eukaryota; Metazoa; Cnidaria; Anthozoa; Actiniaria; Edwardsiidae.
GCACUGGUGGUUCAGUGAUAGAAUUCUCGCAUGCCACGCGGGAGGCCCGGGUUCGAUUCCCGGCCAGUGCA